CCUACGGGAGGCAGCAGUGAGGAAUAUUGGUCAAUGGCCGGAAGGCUGAACCAGCCAAGCCGCGUGAAGGACGAAGGUGCCAAGCAUUGUAAACUUCUUUUGUCAAGGGACAAAAUCAGGCUCGAGAGCCUGACCGAGGGUACUUGAAGAAAAAGCAUCGGCUAACUCCGUGCCAGCAGCCGCGGUAAUACGGAGGAUGCGAGCGUUAUCCGGAUUUAUUGGGUUUAAAGGGUGCGUAGGCGGACUGUUAAGUCAGCGGUAAAAGCCCGGGACCCAACCCCGGCGAGCCGUUGAAACUGGCGGUCUUGAGAUGUCGAGAGGUAUGCGGAAUGCGCAGUGUAGCGGUGAAAUGCUUAGAUAUUGCGCAGAACUCCGAUUGCGAAGGCAGCAUACCGGCGGCGAUCUGACGCUGAGGCACGAAAGCGUGGGUAUCGAACAGGAUUAGAUACCCCAGUAGUC
RNAcentral lists this ribosomal RNA (459 nucleotides) under uncultured bacterium. RNAcentral describes it as "partial 16S ribosomal RNA". It matches the Rfam family "Bacterial small subunit ribosomal RNA", at positions 338 to 795 of the family's 1533-position model. The record is from RNAcentral.